RNAcentral lists this ribosomal RNA (289 nucleotides) under uncultured Alphaproteobacteria bacterium. RNAcentral describes it as "partial 16S ribosomal RNA". It matches the Rfam family "Bacterial small subunit ribosomal RNA", at positions 1107 to 1397 of the family's 1533-position model. The record is from RNAcentral. Lineage: Bacteria; Pseudomonadati; Pseudomonadota; Alphaproteobacteria.
GUCCUCAGUUGCCAUCAUUAGGUUGGGCACUCUGGGGAGACUGCCGGUGAUAAGCCGCGAGGAAGGUGUGGAUGACGUCAAGUCCUCAUGGCCCUUACGGGCUGGGCUACACACGUGCUACAAUGGCGGUGACAGAGGGAUGCCAACCCGCAAGGGUGCGCCAAUCUCGAAAAGCCGUCUCAGUUCGGAUUGCACUCUGCAACUCGAGUGCAUGAAGUUGGAAUCGCUAGUAAUCGUGGAUCAGCACGCCACGGUGAAUACGUUCCCGGGCCUUGUACACACCGCCCGU